RNAcentral lists this ribosomal RNA (484 nucleotides) under uncultured bacterium. RNAcentral's name for it is "partial 16S ribosomal RNA". It matches the Rfam family "Bacterial small subunit ribosomal RNA", at positions 28 to 507 of the family's 1533-position model. The record is from RNAcentral.
GUUGAACGCUGGCGGCAUGCUUUACACAUGCAAGUCGAACGGCAGCGCGGGCUUCGGCCUGGCGGAGAGUGGCGAACGGGUGAGUAAUGCAUCGGAACGUGCCCAGUAGUGGGGGAUAGCCCGGCGAAAGCCGGAUUAAUACCGCAUACGACCUGAGGGUGAAAGCGGGGGACCGAAAGGCCUCGCGCUAUUGGAGCGGCCGAUGUCGGAUUAGCUAGUUGGUGGGGUAAAGGCUUACCAAGGCGACGAUCCGUAGCUGGUCUGAGAGGACGACCAGCCACACUGGGACUGAGACACGGCCCAGACUCCUACGGGAGGCAGCAGUGGGGAAUUUUGGACAAUGGGGGCAACCCUGAUCCAGCCAUGCCGCGUGCGGGAAGAAGGCCUUCGGGUUGUAAAGCGCUUUUGUUCGGGAAGAAAUCCUCUGGGCUAAUACCCCGGGGUGAUGACGGUACCGGAAGAAUAAGCACCGGCUAACUACGUG